RNAcentral lists this ribosomal RNA (486 nucleotides) under uncultured bacterium. RNAcentral describes it as "partial 16S ribosomal RNA". It matches the Rfam family "Bacterial small subunit ribosomal RNA", at positions 30 to 507 of the family's 1533-position model. The record is from RNAcentral.
AUUGAACGCUGGCGGCAUGCCUUACACAUGCAAGUCGAACGGCAGCACGGGUGCUUGCACCUGGUGGCGAGUGGCGAACGGGUGAGUAAUACAUCGGAACAUGUCCUGUAGUGGGGGAUAGCCCGGCGAAAGCCGGAUUAAUACCGCAUACGAUCUACGGAUGAAAGCGGGGGACCUUCGGGCCUCGCGCUAUAGGGUUGGCCGAUGGCUGAUUAGCUAGUUGGUGGGGUAAAGGCCUACCAAGGCGACGAUCAGUAGCUGGUCUGAGAGGACGACCAGCCACACUGGGACUGAGACACCGCCCAGACUCCUACGGGAGGCAGCAGUGGGGAAUUUUGGACAAUGGGCGAAAGCCUGAUCCAGCAAUGCCGCGUGUGUGAAGAAGGCCUUCGGGUUGUAAAGCACUUUUGUCCGGAAAGAAAUCCUUGGCCCUAAUACGGUCGGGGGAUGACGGUACCGGAAGAAUAAGCACCGGCUAACUACGUG